This 253-nucleotide ribosomal RNA is filed under the name uncultured bacterium. RNAcentral's name for it is "partial 16S ribosomal RNA". It matches the Rfam family "Bacterial small subunit ribosomal RNA", at positions 524 to 776 of the family's 1533-position model. The record is from RNAcentral.
UACGUAGGUGGCAAGCGUUGUCCGGAUUUACUGGGUGUAAAGGGCGUGUAGCCGGGCUGACAAGUCAGAUGUGAAAUCCGGGGGCUCAACCCCCGAACUGCAUUUGAAACUGUUGGUCUUGAGUAUCGGAGAGGCAGGCGGAAUUCCUAGUGUAGCGAUGAAAUGCGUAGAUAUUAGGAGGAACACCAGUGGCGAAGGCGGCCUGCUGGACGACAACUGACGGUGAGGCGCGAAAGCGUGGGGAGCAAACAGG